GACAAGAUGAAUUCUUUUGUUUUCAAUGAAUCUUCAAGGUGAACUGAUAUACAUCGAAUAUAAUUUAAUUAGGUGGGUAACCAAACUGACUAAUUUUUUUAAUCAAUAUAUUUGAUACAAUCCUAUGAUAUUUAAUAUUUUAUAUACGAAUUAAUAUAUGGAACCAUUGCUCUUUCUUUAGAAGUACCGAGUACGAAAUAUAUCACAAAAAUUACUGCCAUCAUUAUCAUAAGAACUCAUUAUUCGUUGUGAUAAACUAUGAUAUGAAAAUUCACAAAAAGUUACAGUCAUGAGGUUAUUUUAUGAGAAAAAUAUCGACUUUUAUCACCGAUUUUCAGCUGAUUAUUAAUAUUUUGAAUUAAUAUCUGAUGUAAAUAUAUACUGUAAUUGCUAUAUUUAAACGUGAUCUAUAUGUACUGUUGUCAGUCUAAUCUUGAAUAAACAUAAUACACUGUGCAGACAAAUUGCCCAUUUCAGUAGUUUAUUUGAAUGUAUGUAGACAAUGAAACUGUUUUCUAUUCAGCCAUAAACAAUAGUAAGAAUGAUUACUUAAUUAUAAUGUCAUUGGAAUGAUAAUCCUCCUAAAAUCUUACCUAAACUUUUUAAAACUACACUUAAAUAGCUAAUCUAAUUAAUUAUAUUAUACUUGUAAUUUUAUUAUACAGGGUGUCCCAAAAAACCCGAAAACUAUUGAAAUCACUUAUUGUCAAAAUUUGAAUGCUUUACCAAAAAGCUGAACGUAAUGAUGCAUAAAAUAUUGACAAGAUGCAUGUAUUAGAAUCAUAGUUAAGAACAUCUCCUUGGAAAGUGCACGAUUUUCUGUGCUUGGGAAUUUAAAGCAAAUUUAAAGAACAGUUUCUUUAUGCAUAAAAUUUACUUAUGUCAAUCAUUUAUGCACUCGUGGGAACCAACAGAGUGCUAAGGCAUUCAAAUUCUAACAAUUAAAUUGUUAUUGGUGAUUUCAAUAGUUAUUGGUUUUUUGGGGACACCUGUAUAAUUGUAGUAUGUGUAUUGUGUUUCUCUUUCACCAUUCUCUUUCACCAUGCAAUAUAAUGGACCAGUCAUUAAUAAUGGGUGGGAGAGGUGGGUGAGAAAAGGGAGAUGGCCUUAUGUACUAGGGGAAGAUUUACUUAAAGUAUUUUCAUAAGAGA
This 1151-nucleotide long non-coding RNA is filed under the name Paramuricea clavata. The record is from RNAcentral. Lineage: Eukaryota; Metazoa; Cnidaria; Anthozoa; Malacalcyonacea; Plexauridae.